GACGAACGCUGGCGGCGUGCCUAAUACGUGCAAGUAGAACGCUGAAGGAGGAGCUUGCUUCUCUGGAUGAGUUGCGAACGGGUGAGUAACGCGUAGGUAACCUGCCUGGUAGCGGGGGAUAACUAUUGGAAACGAUAGCUAAUACCGCAUAAGAGUAGAUGUUGCAUGACAUUUGCUUAAAAGGUGCAAUUGCAUCACUACCAGAUGGACCUGCGUUGUAUUAGCUAGUUGGUGGGGUAACGGCUCACCAAGGCGACGAUACAUAGCCGACCUGAGAGGGUGAUCGGCCACACUGGGACUGAGACACGGCCCAGACGCCUACGGGAGGCAGCAGUAGGGAAUCUUCGGCAAUGGACGGAAGUCUGACCGAGCAACGCCGCGUGAGUGAAGAAGGUUUUCGGAUCGUAAAGCUCGGUUGUAAGAGAAGAACGAGUGUGAGAGUGGAAAGUUCACACUGUGACGGUAUCUUACCAGAAAGGGACGGCUAACUACGUG
Molecule: ribosomal RNA, 495 nt
Filed under: uncultured bacterium
Lineage: Bacteria
Description: partial 16S ribosomal RNA
Rfam family: Bacterial small subunit ribosomal RNA
Source: RNAcentral